GACGAACGCUGGCGGCGUGCCUAAUACAUGCAAGUAGAACGCACAGUUUAUACCGUAGCUUGCUACACCAUAAACUGUGAGUUGCGAACGGGUGAGUAACGCGUAGGUAACCUGCCUGGUAGCGGGGGAUAACUAUUGGAAACGAUAGCUAAUACCGCAUAAUAUUGAUUAUUGCAUGAUAAUUGAUUGAAAGAUGCUAUUGCAUCACUACCAGAUGGACCUGCGUUGUAUUAGCUAGUAGGUGAGGUAACGGCUCACCUAGGCGACGAUACAUAGCCGACCUGAGAGGGUGAUCGGCCACACUGGGACGGAGACACGGCCCAGACUCCUACGGGAGGCAGCAGUAGGGAAUCUUCGGCAAUGGACGAAAGUCUGACCGAGCAACGCCGAGUGAGUGAAGAAGGUUUUCGGAUCGUAAAGCUCUGUUGUAAGAGAAGAACGGGUGUGAGAGUGGAAAGUUCACACUGUGACGGUAUCUUACCAGAAAGGGACGGCUAACUACGUG
Molecule: ribosomal RNA, 505 nt
Filed under: uncultured bacterium
Lineage: Bacteria
Description: partial 16S ribosomal RNA
Rfam family: Bacterial small subunit ribosomal RNA
Source: RNAcentral